AUCUUCGGGGUUGGGUGCAAUUCCCUAUCGGCGGUACAGCCCGCGAGCGCGAGAGCGCAGAUCCGGUGAGCGAGAGCAAGUCCGGGGCCGACAGUGACAGUCUGGAUGAAAGAAGAUG
RNAcentral lists this non-coding RNA (118 nucleotides) under bovine gut metagenome. RNAcentral's name for it is "FMN riboswitch (RFN element)". It matches the Rfam family "FMN riboswitch aptamer (RFN element)". Rfam says of the family: The RFN element is a highly conserved domain that is found frequently in the 5'-untranslated regions of prokaryotic mRNAs that encode for flavin mononucleotide (FMN) biosynthesis and transport proteins. This element is a metabolite-dependent riboswitch that directly binds FMN in the absence of proteins. The record is from RNAcentral.